GAAAUGCGAUAAGUAGUGUGAAUUGCAGAAUUCAGUGAAUCAUCGAAUCUUUGAACGCUCAUUGCGCCCUUUGGUAUUCCUUAGGGCAUGCCUGUUCGAGCGUCAUCUAAACCUUCAAGCCCUGCUUGGUGUUGGGUGCCUGUCCCGCCUCCGCGCGCGGACUCACCUCAAAUCCAUUGGCGGCCCCCGCGUCGGCCACGAGCGCAGCAGAAACGCGAACUCGUGAGCCCGUCCGGGCGGCUCCCAGAAGCUACACCCACCCAGUUUGACCUCGGAUCAGGUAGGGAUACCCGCUGAACUUAAGC
RNAcentral lists this unclassified non-coding RNA (305 nucleotides) under plant metagenome. RNAcentral's name for it is "partial contains 5.8S ribosomal RNA, internal transcribed spacer 2, and large subunit ribosomal RNA". The stretch from base 1 to 105 matches the Rfam family "5.8S ribosomal RNA", at positions 50 to 154 of the family's 154-position model. The record is from RNAcentral.